CAAUAACACUUUGAUCAACUUUUAACAUAGAGAUUUCGACUCGAUAAACCUUGACACAAGCAGAUGUGCUUACUGUGAAAUAGCUGAAUAUUUGCUUAAAUAAGCUAGAUUUUUCUAUGGAAUCUUGAGUGUUUUAAAUUAUUUUACCUUUAACAAUUUUUGAGAGUUUCUAUUUUCAAAGAAUUGACGGGAGUAUCUGGCGAGUUGGCCGUCGUACCAAAUACUGUCCAAGGACACAUUAUGGGCAUUUAUUUCAGAGAGAAUCAAAACCAUCCUUAAUCUUGUUAUCGGAAUCCCAGAUUUGCGGACUUCAGACCAAUGUUCUACUGACCUAACGGGAAACUCUAUUGGCUGCAACCGGAAACUGUAUAGGCAGACUAAGCCUUGUACGAGGGG
This 396-nucleotide long non-coding RNA is filed under the name Olea europaea (common olive). RNAcentral describes it as "long non-coding RNA (OEUR_LNC004363)". The record is from RNAcentral. Lineage: Eukaryota; Viridiplantae; Streptophyta; Magnoliopsida; Lamiales; Oleaceae.